AAAAAGACAAACCCUGAGUUUCCGUGUUCAACUUUGACUGUCCGUCUUAUAUGAUUUUUUUGUAUAAUUCGUAUUUUUAUUGUUGUUAGAUGAUAAAACAUAAUUAAUAUUUUAUGCGUGACUUGUCUUUUUAAUUUUUUUUAUAAUUUUUUCAAAUAAGACGAACGGUCAAACGUUGGGCACGGAAACC
RNAcentral lists this microRNA precursor (190 nucleotides) under Oryza sativa Japonica Group (Japanese rice). Its description in RNAcentral is "MIR812 microRNA precursor family". It matches the Rfam family "MIR812 microRNA precursor family". The record is from Rfam by way of RNAcentral. Lineage: Eukaryota; Viridiplantae; Streptophyta; Magnoliopsida; Poales; Poaceae.